Molecule: long non-coding RNA, 5063 nt
Filed under: Bemisia tabaci
Lineage: Eukaryota; Metazoa; Arthropoda; Insecta; Hemiptera; Aleyrodidae
Description: lncRNA ENSASIAIIG007769
Source: RNAcentral
AUGGCUUUCGUGCGAAUUAAAAGGCGACGGGAUGAAAACCCUGCGGAAGCUCUUCUCAUCGCUACUAAAAGACUAAAGACUUCAAAAGAAGAAGACAAAGCAUCAAUUUUUGAAUUCACGGCCACCCUGGACUGUGAUGAAGAAGAGGUCAUAUCUUAUUUGAACAAAGCUCGCAAAUUAGAGUCUGUCAAAUCGAGUUUCAAGAAGAGAAGUAAACCCAACGUAACUGAGGAUUUUAUCAAAGAACAUGAAACGAAAGUAAAAGACAACAGACUUCAGGUUAUCAAUUGUUUUCGAGCUUUACAGGAUAAUAAGAACGAAAAACCUGUAACAGUGGUAGAUGUUGUAUCAGACUCAUCUAAAGAGACUGAAAACACUAAUUAUGUGUAUGAUAUUUAUCAACAAACGAACAAUGAAGAUGUUGAUGAUAUGCUAAUGGAACGAAUGUACAGUGUUUUUGCAAUAGACUUAUGUGGAGGAGAGAAUGAUGAUGAGGAUGGCUCGGAGGAAUUUUUCGACUGUUCUGAUGACUCAAAUGACGAGAAUAACUGGCGAAACGACUACCCAGAUGAGGAAUCAACUUCAUCUGAAGCCAGUAGUGAUGGUUAUAAAGAAGAGCAUAGUAUUAAUGAAGAGGAUAUGGUUCGAGCCAUGAAUAACAUGGAUUUUUACGACUUAUCAUCAGAUGAUGAAGAAGAAAAAGAAUCUACUUCUGAUUAUUGUGAUACAACCUCUGAUCAUUCAAAUUUAUCGCUGGAAGAAUUUGACGAUCCAGUUGGUUCUGAUGACUUUUAAUUUUGAUUAAUUCAAGAUCAGAAUUCCAUUGUGCAUAUUGAUAAGCCCUCUUAAGCCAUGUUAAAUUGUGUUCUCACAGUUCAUUAGAUAGCUAUUUUUUUCUUCUUUUUUUCAAGUAAAUUUAAGAGAAAUAUAAAAUUAUUCAUAAGAGGAAGAGGUACAAAUGCUUUCGGUCUUCUUCACAGACCAGUGAGGUAUUCCUCCAAAAAAGAAUAACAGAACCAGGCAGAAUGCCAAUCACAGGUUUCUUUAUCACUUAACAUCAUAAGGUGCGAUAAUUUUUGCACUUAGUUAUGUCAUGGUAAUAAUCUUUACAUAUUCUGGAUAAAUACUCUGUCUGGCAGACAUGAGAUCCAUUGUAGUCAGUAAAAUGUGAAGCCAACUUUAUGUUAAAAUAAAUAACUCUACAACUCAUUGCUGAGUAAUUUAAAAAUUUCACACCGUCAUCAGUUUCAUUUUUUAAUUCGGAAAUCAGGCUGAGAAUCAGAAAUAAUUUUAUGGGAACAAUCACCUGCUUGUUUUCUAAAAACUUUAAGUUUUGGAAAUCAUCAUCAAUUUUAGGACAAUAAUUUGGCAUUCACCGUCGCAGUCUACCGCUAUCAUUUGCUUUUCUCAGUUUAGUCUACACUGCGUGGGCUCUUAUCUAUUCCUUCAUGGGGAAUAGAAUGUGAAAGCUCUGAAACAGAAUAUUGUUUUAAUUUCUCAAAAAUUGCCCCAGUUUCAGUUUCCCUCCCCUCCAUAUUUCUCACCAGUUUCUGCAUGAUUCUCCAACAUUCUCUACUCGAGUAUUUUACUGAUCCAUGGCAGCAGUUUCACAACAACUUGAUAAGCAAAAAUGGUCAAAUUGUCGGUAUAAUAUUGUAAAUGACUCAUACUGAUCAAAGAAAGCUAACAAAUGAGGUUUUCUUAGUACUUCAGUUUCAUUGAUAAUCCAUUAAAAGACUCCUUAAAAUGCAUUUGGUCAAAAACCCAAAGAUUAUCAGUCAUGCUUUCUUUAAAUUCUGCGAAAAGCUAAAAGUACAAGGGGCCAAGUCAAGAUUGUAUUACAGGUAAGAGAUGAGUGUGGACCCUUUUACUGCUAUGCAAAGGAAAAACGCUGUAUGAACAUUCAAGAGUUGCCAUAUUUUCUCCGAUAAAAUGUUUAUUACAUGGGGAGUCAUGAAUAUUUUUUUAAAAAAUUUUCUGAUAGUUCAUACCUGAUUGCGAAUAAAAUAGGGGGGGGGGAGGAUAUUCACAGGCUUCCCUGAUUAUUUUUAUUUUAUUUAGAGGUUUGGCAACACCUGAAGGCUCAUACAGCGUUCUUCUUUAGCAUGGCAGUUUACCUCCAUCAGCUCUCCAUCAAGGAUGUGCAGGAUAAUUAGGACCCUUUUACGCAUUCAGGAUCAUCGUAAAUGCACUGAAAUUCUUUAGUUAUCAUUUUGUUUAAUAACACCAUUCACAAUCAUUAGCAAGCAUGACACAUUUUGCUACCUAUCUAAAUCAAGAAUUCUGUUGCUCUAUUCUAAAUUUUCCAUUUUCCUUGCUGACAAAAUGUCAACAAGAAAACCAAAGCAUGCAGAUUCCAAAAUUUUCAGGAAGACUGCUUCAUACUUUUUUGUACUCAAUGAAUAGAAGAUAAAGCCUGAAGUGAUCAGGUUUCUUUGCAAUGGGGUAUUUUGCUUGGAAAAGGAAAGUAUGAUUUGGAUCAGAUUUACAGCUUUUUUUGCGGAUGAUAGCAUUCGCUGUGAGUUAACAACGUUACUCAGCACCCCUUUGCCUUAUCUAAAGUCACCUCUUAUUUGAAAUCUCACCUGCAAAUUAGUUCUGCUCAGAGAUAAACAUGAAUAUUAUGUUCGUUAUAUGACAGUUAAAAAUUAUCCAUUUAAAAAUUUUUAAUCUGAAAACCUUAAUAUUGACUUCUUCCAAGAAAGGAGUCUCCCUCGAACUUUACCUGAACCAAAGUUUGUUUUCUUUCUUUCUUUGUCUAUAAAAGAGUCAGUUUGAUCUGUUUUAGAAUAAAUAAUUUAAAUGCGCCUGUUGCAAACUUCAGCUAGAGUUGCGAAAAGUUGUUUCUCAUUGAAUAUGGCUCAAAAAUCACGAUGAACGCUUUGGGAAAGUCUGAAAUACACUUCUAACUUCACAAUCUGCAUGAUGAGGAAUAUGCAUUUUUUAAGCUUCCCGUUUCAAAAACGAUACUACAACACAGGUGAACAUUUCGCAAGAUGAGUCGCUCCAUCUAACCCUUGCUCACAUCACAAAAAUGCUUCGCAGUACUCAACAUGGCUGACGCUUCAGCACGCAAAUCAUGAGGAAGCAGCAUGGAUCUUUAUCAGCAAGGAAAAUGUAAAUAUAAAUAUGCGAAUUGAUCAAUUCCCGUCUCAACAAGUGUGUUUUGGCAGAUUGGCGUCGACCAUGUCUAAUAUCAAGUGGCAUCUUAGCGCACAAGGGUUAGAGGGAACGACUCCUCUCAUGAAAUGUUCACCUGUGCCAUGGUAUCGUUUUUGAAACGGCUUAAAAAACGCACAUUUCUUAUUCAGAUUGUGAAGUUAGGAGUGUAUUUCUGACUUUCCUAUUGCAUUCAUAGUGAUUUUAAGCCAUUUUCUGUAAGACACUACUCUCCUCUUUGCUCUAGCUGAUGUUCACAACAGGCCCAUUCAAUUCAUAGAAAUCCUCUUGGAAGACCAGGCAUUCAUCAACACGUGAAAUAUGGUCAAAUUAGUUUUAUUUCACACUGUUAAAUAUUUUCUUUCAAGUAUGUAGUGUAAUCAUUCUUUCUUUAGAAUUAUGUACCAUUCAAUUUUACAUUGUUUUUAUUUUAAAUUGCUAGUUUUUAAAUACUAAUUUGUCUUCAGCUGUAACCAAUAAAAAGUAUAAAAUUUUUAAAUGUUACUAAAUGAAAUUCAGGUUCGUUUUUUUUUUUUUUUUUUUUGCUUCUCUAUCUUCCUCUCACAUGAAAAUUUGAACAUCUUUAUUGCAGGUUAAAUUUUUCUGACUGGAUUCCUUGGUAAAUUCACGGUUCUUCUAAAUAUGUUGUCCUUGGUAUGCAUGAAACAAAAUGAGUUGCCAUUACGUUCACUGUUUCAGUCACUACAAUGAUGUAUUAAAAAUUUGAAACUUUAAGAAGGAUCCUACACAGAAAACCAAGGUAUUCACCAUUGACUAAUUUUCGUACUUCCUUGAUAAUAUGUUCUUCACGACCUCCUGAGCAUGAUGAGCUUUUCAAAUUGAAGUUCCUAAGCCAAAAUCAAGGAGAGCUGUCUGAAAAGUGAAUGUUUCGAUGUAUCCUUCCUGUGCUUUCUUGUGGUAACAUGGCACUGCUCUUUAUCCAAUAUGCAUAGCCAUUUAUUCUAACCCGACCAACACGAUGAAAGAUGGGCAUCUGCCUUAUCUUUCAGCAAACAUGCAGCAAGGAACGAGGAGCUAUCCUUCCUUGCCAACAUUUUUAUUAGAAAAAGUAUAUGAAACUGCUCUAAAGUUGCUUUUGUGCCCCACUUAUCUCAAAAUUAACGCAGAGAGAGCAAGUCUCAAAAGCAUCUAUCAAGAGCAAAUUCAGACCCAUUUCCCAUGUACCCCUUUUAUUAUUUUAAUUUAUUUAUUUGUCAUUUCUCAUUGAUUUUUUAAUUUCAAAUUAUAAUUUUCAAACACAGACUUUAAGCUUAAUUUUAAUGAUUGCAGGAGAAAGCAUUCCACUGGAAACAACAAAAGCAAUCAUUUUCACCACUUAAAAAACAUCACUACUUUAUUUAGACAAGAAUACUGAUUACGAACUAGUACAAAGAUAAAAUAAAAAAAUUACUGACACUUCUUAAUUGUUACAGGAAUUUACAAUCGUUGGGUUUACGUCAGUCAUAUUCAUGAUCAGCACUCGCAAUAGUAAAAUAUAUCAAACUUGAUGUACCUAGUUUCAAACCAGCUGUCACUUUAGAUCUACAAGUCACCAGUUUCCCUGGAUUAAAAAAAAAGAUAGGUGUCAAAGAUGACAUAAUAAUACAUAUAUUCACCCUCUUCAUAUCUAAAGAGUGCAUACACUUCUGAUUCUGCUCCGGGAAACCUGUCUAUCAGUCAGCUUAACCACAAUCCAUUUCAAUAAAGACUAUUCCUCAUUCACGAAACAUCUCACUUGCACCCAACAGUCAUAAAAGUUCCUUCUUUCUUUCUGUUUUAAAAACAGUAAUAAAUGUACCUAAUAAUAAGUGUGAACAUUAAUCAUAAAAUGUGAUAAAAUAAACUGCAUCUUUCAUGAGAAAGGCUGUUGAAAAGGUGAGAAAUCUUAGAAAGUUCUGUGAGAA